GCGGCGGACGGUGAUAACACUGGUAACCUGCUGAAGACUGGGUAACUCCGGGAAACCGGGGCUAAUACCGGUGCUUGUUGAACCGCAUGGUUCAGACAUAAAAGGUGGCUUCGGCUACCACUUACAGAUGGACCCGCGGCGCAUUAGCUAGUUGGUGAGGUAACGGCUCACCAAGGCAACGAUGCGUAGCCGACCUGAGAGGGUGAUCGGCCACACUGGGACUGAGACACGGCCCAGACUCCUACGGGAGGCAGCAGUAGGGAAUCUUCCGCAAUGGACGAAAGUCUGACGGAGCAACGCCGCGUGAGUGAUGAAGGUUUUCGGAUCGUAAAGCUCUGUUGUUAGGGAAGAACAAGUGCCGUUCAAAUAGGGCGGCACCUUGACGGUACCUAACCAGAAAGCCACGGCUAACUACGUGCCAGCAGCCGCGUU
RNAcentral lists this ribosomal RNA (432 nucleotides) under Bacillus amyloliquefaciens. RNAcentral's name for it is "bacterial SSU rRNA". It matches the Rfam family "Bacterial small subunit ribosomal RNA", at positions 95 to 521 of the family's 1533-position model. The record is from RNAcentral. Lineage: Bacteria; Bacillati; Bacillota; Bacilli; Caryophanales; Bacillaceae. RNAcentral also lists the same sequence under 1 other name.